Molecule: long non-coding RNA, 3997 nt
Organism: Mustela lutreola (European mink)
Lineage: Eukaryota; Metazoa; Chordata; Mammalia; Carnivora; Mustelidae
Exons: 3
Source: RefSeq, a predicted model, not a curated record
CUGUGGAGGCAGCAGCGCGUUUAGGUUUUUGCCAGUUUGAGAUACUUCGGUUUGUGAAGCCGAGCCCUAAGGGACAACGCUUGGUAACGGAGAAAGAGAUCGUAGAUAAAGAAAUAAAAGUGACAAGCGUAAUGGAGGCUCUGGGAGACGACUGUCAGAGACCAGCUCGGGGAUGGCAAUUUCGCCAGGCUGAGGUUGAAUAAUUCAUAGAUCGAAAUUACCCUGCUUUCACCUUUCCAUUUAAACCGGCAUGAUCUGAAUCUCUAAUAAAUUUUCCAAGAUAAAGUAAAAUGCCAGUUUGAGUCUGAAGAGCUUUUAAAACCAGAUGCGGCCUCCCUGAAUCUUGCGGUAUCUUUCCCAAUCAUCCUGCGAGAACCGCACUUCAUCACAAAGCAGCAUCACCAGGAAGAAGGACGGUGAUUGCGGCAGUGACAGCAGAGUGCCACCAAACGAUCUCUCGUUUCCCUGAUUUGCUAAGACUGACUGUGUGGCUUUAGUGCCCAUUGUCCAUCACCGUGCCUGGCACAGGCGGAUCUGUCUCGCUCCGGAACAAAAGUGAGGCGGUGUGUGAAAUAAAUACCUGAACUCUGAAAGCCUAGCAGAGCUCAUUCUCCUAGGCUGCAGUGCCUCCUUCGUUUGGUGGGCGUUUUUGCACUUUUUGCAUUUUUUUUUGUUUGUUUGUUUGUUUUUGUUUUCCAAUGCGUACAACCCCAAAUGCCUGUUUGGGAGAAAUGGUGAGCCUGUCGUGGAUUUGGGGUUGAUGCCUUGAUAUAGGAGAGCACGGGCUUGUUCAUUUAUGUCCCCUUUAUUUUCAUGUUUACAAGCAUGUGUUUACCAGAAGGGAGGAAAGAUUCUGUUCUGGGAGAGUAGUUUAAAAAAUGCAGUCAAGACAAAGCCUGUGUCUUUGUUUCUCCUUUGAAACCCCUUUUCAGGUUAGAGAUUCCUUCCGGACAUUCUAAUCCUGGUAUGAUUCAAAAGGAGCUCAGGAGACACCUGCAGUAAUAACUGUGCAGCUUUUAUUAAAAGCUUGUAUUUCUGAUGGAGUGAUUAAAGGCAGCUUUGCUGGGACUUCGGUUGUGGGCAUGUCUGCCAGCUCUCUAGUGCAGUCGAAACUGAAGACUUUUUCGGACAGCCUGCGUGGUCCCUUUCAGGGUAACUCUGCCUCCUCCCAUCCCCCGCCAAAAAGUGGCUCACGAAGCCUCGCUGGAGAACGGACCCUGUGCCUUCAUUUAGUUCCCAGUAGCAUGAAGACAGUGUGCGGGUUCCUGCUAGUCAACUGACUCAAGUGUGAUUUUUCUAAGGCAGGGUUUCCGAGGGAUGCCAGUUCUUGGGGAGGAAGAGGCCACUGCAAGCCUGUGUGACUCUGGAGGGAAACUACCCUCCUCCAGACGGCCUGGCAAGACCCUUCCUAUGGAAAUCGCUCCUGAGGUAUGAGGACGGUGUGGCUCACGGCGGGUGACCAGACGCCUUGGCUCAGAAAUCAUGGGAUUUUUGAUCUCCCUGAAGACACGGCUCUGGAAUUAUUCAGAUCUUGCCUGAUCGCCCCGACACCUAAACGGAGAGGCUCCUCAGAUAGAAGCAGGACAAAAGAAGUCUUUGCUGAAUUCAACAGACGCCCUGCAUUCACUUGCUUUGCCCCUUGCUGUGUUUCAAAAUUACCCACCAACAUCUAUAUGCAAAGAAGCAAGAUGGGGACAGUCUGUGUUUGUAGUCUCAGUCCAAUACACACACCAUGCCAAAGAGAGAAUCGGAUUCCAUUUUGGAGCCGAGGUCUCAGGUCCAAUUUAAUUUGAUCCCCAAAAGACCAAGCUGAUUAAUUGUCAGCUCCAGCCUUUCUUCGAAGGAAACCUUAAUCCCCCGUAAUUUGCCAUGAAAUUAGUGGGAGUUGGCUCUUUGAGGCAUGAAUAGCGUGGGUCCUGUUCAAACCUCCCCGGGGCCGUAUUUUCGGCGAGGUGGGGAUGGGGCUGGCCGCCCAGAAGAGAAGCAGGUGUAAUGCGGAUUAGGUCACAUGGUGGGAAGGGGGCUGCGGUGGGCAGGCAGCUGGUGAAAUCCCAGGUGUGUGUGAGUUGGCAGGGGUACAAAGAGAGGAGGGCUGCGAACAGCUCAAAGUCCCUGGGCUGUGCAGCUGCCUGUUUGGCACUUGCUUCGGACCCACCUGUCGUGUUGAGGGGCACAACCCACUCCGAGGAGCGGGGAAACAUGAAAGGUCUCCCGCAGCUACAGCACCCCGCCCGGCCCGGGAGGAAGGCAGGGAGCAAGGCUGCCGGGGAGCGGCCAGGCAAAGGCAGGAUCUCCCUCGUGCUCCAUAACCUCCAAAUGCUUAAGUCAGGGCAGGUCUGGCUUUUUUUCCUCAACAGGCAGCCUUUGGGGGCACCUGGCAGGGCUUAGGUCGUGAUCCCAGAGCCCUGGGAUCGAGCCCCGCAUCGGGGUCCCUGCUCAGCGGGAAGCCUGCUUCUCCUUCUCCCACUCCCCCACCUCUGUUCCCUCUCUCGCUGUCUCUCCAUCAAAUAAAUAAAUAAACUCUUUAAAACAAAACAAAACAGUAGUCUUUGGAGGACCAAGAUAAAGCUCUGGACAGUCUUUCCAUCCGGAGCCCAUCCCCGAGUUCACCUGGAGAGUCCGUGAAAAACCCCCAGAGCUGGCAAGUAAGUCAACAGGCAGAGAUACUCAGGGAUCAAAACAGGCUCAAGGCCAAGAGGCAAAAAUAAAUGAUGAUCCUUUCUCCCGGGGCUGUGGGGAGCUCCUGUAAACAGGCUCAUCCCAACAAGCCUUUCUUAAUCUCUGUCCUGCUGCUAAUCGCAGCGGUGGGUUUUGCAGGAUGGGUUACCUUCUUGGGGAGGCUAGUGUUUCGGAUUCUGUCACUGUGAAGGAGGGAACGCCUCUGGCUCUCCGAGGUCAGUGAAAAGGGCACCCUCUGUCAGGUGCCUGGGCUUGCGAGGAGUGAUAUCUCCUCUCCAUCCCGAGCCAGCCUCCAAAACAGUUAUGAAGCAGGUGCAGCCCAUAUGACUGACCUCCUGGGAGCCAGACUCUGCAGCGUCCGGGCCUGGCUGUGUGACAUCUGGGGUCAUGGAGACGGGAGCAGAAGAUGUUGGUGAAAGACGUUUGUUUUCCCCAUACCAGCUCCCCCCCAUUCCGAAUUUGCCCCUUCUUCCUACCUGGAACGCAGGACACCCUCCUCCCGCAGAGAUGGGAGCCAUCGAUGGAAGGUGUCAGGGCAGGGAGAGAAAAGGAGCCUGUGGUCUCAGUGGCAUGGCUGUACCACUGUACCAGCCCCAGCUGCCCACUCUGGCCUUCCUGCUACGAAGGAUGGCCCUGUGGCUCCUGAACUCCAGUGGGCCUCUGAAUCACCUGGAGGGCUCCUAAAAGCAUGGGCUUCUGGGAACUUCCUCCAGAGCGUCUGAUUCAGAAGGUCUGGGGUGAGGCCUGAAAUAGGUUCCCAGCUAAAGCUGAUUCCACUGGUUGGAGCCCAGGCUAGAGAACCACUAGAGGACUGAGCUGCCCUCUGUUGAAGCCUCUGGCUUCUUGUAUUCGUAGCAGAAUUCAGUCCCAGCUGAUGCACUGACCUCUGACCCCUCAGUAGCCACAACAGCUCGCCUGAUCCCUCCCCUCCAGAAAGGGGCUGAAAACUCACUAAACCACCAGGCAUAGAAACCAAUGAGGCUGGCAGUCAAUCUGCACUCUGAUCAAAGAGGAAUCAUCGAUGCAAAGAAAAGGAUCUCUGCUUUCAACUUGGAGGCUGCGUUGGAGCUGAAUGGGGGAGAUGUUUGAGAGCAGGAAAGCUUUCCUGGAACCCCUGAAAUCACACCAGAGAGACCCUUCCCUUUUCGGACCCACAAGUGGGUUUUCACAGGCGUUCUUCCUUCUACAGGCCGUUAUCCUCAGGCGGGAGAGUACAUUAGCUAGGGGGACUUGGGGCAAACUCUUUUCACUUCUCUGAACCUCCAUGGUCUUAUCUGUAAAGUCGGAAUGAUAAUACUCAUCACACAGACUCAUUGUC